This is a non-coding RNA of Aedes albopictus (Asian tiger mosquito), 118 nucleotides long. The record is from Rfam. NCBI's taxonomy places the organism in Eukaryota, Metazoa, Arthropoda, Insecta, Diptera, Culicidae.
UGCCCAGCAACUCCUAUCCCUACCUCCACGCGGUACCGGUCGGAAAGUAUGAGCAACCUUAGGGAAGAUCGGGUAAUCAACCCCGGUGGGAGCUUUGGUCGUAGGGUGACAGAGAAGG